Molecule: ribosomal RNA, 448 nt
Filed under: uncultured bacterium
Lineage: Bacteria
Description: bacterial SSU rRNA
Rfam family: Bacterial small subunit ribosomal RNA
Source: RNAcentral
UCCAGACUCCUACGGGAGGCAGCAGUGGGGGAUAUUGCACAAUGGGGGAAACCCUGAUGCAGCGACGCCGCGUGAGUGAAGAAGUAUUUCGGUAUGUAAAGCUCUAUCAGCAGGGAAGAAAAAAGACGGUACCUGACUAAGAAGCCCCGGCUAACUACGUGCCAGCAGCCGCGGUAAUACGUAGGGGGCAAGCGUUAUCCGGAUUUACUGGGUGUAAAGGGAGCGUAGACGGCAAUACAAGUCGGAAGUGAAAUACCCGGGCUCAACCUGGGAACUGCCUUGGAAACUGUAUGGCUGGAGUGCUGGAGAGGUAAGCGGAAUUCCUAGUGUAGCGGUGAAAUGCGUAGAUAUUAGGAGGAACACCAGUGGCGAAGGCGGCUUACUGGACAGUAACUGACGUUGAGGCUCGAAAGCGUGGGGAGCAAACAGGAUUAGAUACCCCCGUAAU